UGAUAUGGUUUGGCUGUGUCCCCACCCAAAUUUCAACUUGAAUUGUAUCUCCCAGAAUUCCCACGUGUUGUAGGAGGGACCCAGAAGGAGGUAAUUGAACCAUGGAGGCCAGUCUUUCCCAUGCUAUUCUCAUGAUAGUGAAUAAGUCUCACAAGAUCUGUGGGUUUAUCAGGGGUUUCCACUUUUGCUUCCUCUCAUUUUCUCUUGCCGCCGCCAUGUAAGAAGUGCCUUUUGCCUCUCACCAUGAUUCUGAGGCCUCCCCAGCCAUGUGGAACUGUAAGUCCAAUUAAACCUUUUUCUUCCCAGUCUCAGGUAUGUCUUUAUCAGCAGCGUGAAAAUGGACUAAUACAUCUGUCUUCCAUCUUUCUGCUCAAAUGAUGCAUCUUCUUUUUUAAGAUCUUAGGUUAAAUUCUGCUUCCUCCAGGAAGCCUUCCCUGAGCUGAAACUCAGAUGAGUUAUAAGCCCCUUUAGGGGUGACUUCUGGUUUUAUGAUAAUUUCCCUUCACUGAGAACUUCCAGCUCUCUAAAAACAGAAUUACAGGGAAAGGCCCCAGGAGCCAUCUCUGUCUGUCACGUCUGACGAGGGACGGAUGGACCCUGACCCAGCCUGGGCGAAGUGGCACUCUCUGCUCUGGGAGCUUGAGUUUGAGAUCCAGCCUCCUCACGGGGUUGAGCCUGUGAGCCUCGACUAACUUGGGCACUGUGGACAGCCAUGCUGUGUUACUCAACCUGAGGGGCAGGAAAAGCUUGUUUGCAGAGAGAAGAGAGUGAAGCUGACCCAGAGGCAGAACAGAAACAGGGUCUAUGAAGAGCGGGUGUUCCCACUCCCUGGUUUCA
RNAcentral lists this long non-coding RNA (837 nucleotides) under Homo sapiens (human). Its description in RNAcentral is "non-protein coding lnc-UBE3C-5:1". The record is from RNAcentral. Lineage: Eukaryota; Metazoa; Chordata; Mammalia; Primates; Hominidae.